RNAcentral lists this non-coding RNA (217 nucleotides) under Lotharella globosa. Lineage: Eukaryota; Cercozoa; Chlorarachniophyceae. The record is from RNAcentral.
CACCCGCAUGCUGUAUCGUUUGAGUCGAGGUAACGCGUUUGUGCGGUAUCUGGACAUUGAUGAGCCGAUCAUCGACCCAGAGUCUGGUCAGCCAGUAAGAAAAUCGGUCUUCUACAUCGUGUCCAUUGGGCGUGGCCUUUCGAAUAAACUUGCGAAGCUGUGCAAUUAUUUCCAAGCCUCCAUUUAUCGAGUCCCCGAGAGGAACACGGACGCCUGC